This 425-nucleotide ribosomal RNA is filed under the name uncultured bacterium. RNAcentral's name for it is "partial 16S ribosomal RNA". It matches the Rfam family "Bacterial small subunit ribosomal RNA", at positions 354 to 796 of the family's 1533-position model. The record is from RNAcentral.
GUGGGGAAUCUUGCGCAAUGGGCGAAAGCCUGACGCAGCCAUGCCGCGUGAAUGAUGAAGGUCUUAGGAUUGUAAAAUUCUUUCACCGGGGACGAUAAUGACGGUACCCGGAGAAGAAGCUCCGGCUAACUACGUGCCAGCAGCCGCGGUAAUACGUAGGGAGCGAGCGUUGUUCGGAAUUACUGGGCGUAAAGGGCGCGUAGGAGGGAAUUUAAGUAAGGUGUGAAAACUCCGGGCUCAACCUGAAGACUGCACUUUAAACUAGAGUGCUUGAGGGCAAGAGAGUCAAGUGGAAUUCCUAGUGUAGCGGUGAAAUGCGUAGAUAUUAGGAGGAACACCAGUGGCGAAGGCGACUUUCUGGACUGUACCUGACGCUGAGGCGCGAAAGCGUGGGGAGCGAACAGGAUUAGAAACCCUUGUAGUCC